This 1054-nucleotide long non-coding RNA is filed under the name Homo sapiens (human). Its description in RNAcentral is "HSALNT0008217". The record is from RNAcentral. Lineage: Eukaryota; Metazoa; Chordata; Mammalia; Primates; Hominidae.
GCGAAAAGCAAAGCACUUCCUCAUAUCUGUAUCUGCCUCUCGUCUUGCUUUUGAUUUGAAGAUAAGAGACUCUGGAGUAAUGAAUCAUGGUGGUGGAGAAUGGCGUGAUGGACAGGCCUCCUGAAUCCGGUCAGACAGACACUUCUGUUUCAAAGGUGUCAGGCUUAGACUGAGUGCCAGAAUUACCCUCAUGGAAUUCACAGUCCAGUGGAAGAGGAGACAUUCAUCAGGUUCUCAGCUUUGCAUAACAGCUCCCAACUCUUCCUCCUGGAGGCCUGCUGAUUACCGGCAUGAGCUGAAAUACUGGGGACAGCCACAGCCUGAACUCAGCAGCACCCUGCAGCAUGCUACUUUCUCUCUCCUCCUGCCUUCCUCUCCCUAGGAAGUGAAACCACACAAUAAACCAGGCACGCAGGGUUCCUGUCCCUCCACUUUCCUAGACUGGGCCACACUUGAUCAUUCUUGAAGUCAUCACAACCCUGCGGGUCUGUACUUGAAAUUUCACAUAUAAUUUGUCACAGCUAGAAAGCCUGUUUCUAAUAAAACAUUUUCCUCUUUGCUUCACCUUCUGAAUACUCAAGUUCAGCUCAGGUUCUGGUUAUUCAGCCAGUGCUGAAAAGGAGAAAGCAAGAGCUAGUGAAGUCUAACAAUUUAUUUUUUUUAAUCUUAAAACUUUAAAAACAAAAACAAAAACACUAAUGCGGCUUCCCAAACUUAGCCAUCUCUUUUAUACACCUAACCUAGAGCUCCUGACACAGGCAUAGGAACUUCUGAUAUUUGUUCACAGAAGAAACAACCAGAACCUUCCCUGAAUUUGAGGCUGCACUGCUAGGGAAGGCUCCCCGGGAGAGGCUGGCAUUCACAGAGCCACCGUGUGAGGACGGCGUUUUAAACUGCAGACAAUAAAGUGCUCAUCAUGUGUAAAAAGCCAUUAAAAACCUCCAGUGCGAAUCACCUUGGUCAUGCCAUCCUCCCGAGUUUAUUAUUGUCUUUCCCCUGCUCUUAUCCAAACAGCCUGGACAGCUUGUUUAUGGAGGGCUCUAGAGCAGCCUCG